This 416-nucleotide ribosomal RNA is filed under the name uncultured bacterium. Its description in RNAcentral is "bacterial SSU rRNA". It matches the Rfam family "Bacterial small subunit ribosomal RNA", at positions 29 to 490 of the family's 1533-position model. The record is from RNAcentral.
AACGAACGCUGGCGGCAGGCCUAACACAUGCAAGUCGAACGCCCGUAGCAAUACGGGAGUGGCAGACGGGUGAGUAACGCGUGGGAACGUGCCCUUGGUUCGGAAUAACUCAGGGAAACUUGAGCUAAUACCGGAUACGUCCGUAAGGAGAAAGAUUUAUCGCCGAAGGAUCGGCCCGCGUCGGAUUAGCUAGUUGGUGAGGUAACGGCCCACCAAGGCGACGAUCCGUAGCUGGUCUGAGAGGANGAUCAGCCACACUGGGACUGAGACACGGCCCAGACUCCUACGGGAGGCAGCAGUGGGGAAUAUUGGACAAUGGGCGAAAGCCUGAUCCAGCCAUGCCGCGUGAGUGAAGAAGGCCUUAGGGUUGUAAAGCUCUUUCAGCGGGAAGAUAAUGACGGUACCCGCAGAAGAAG